Long non-coding RNA from Amphibalanus amphitrite, 2438 nucleotides. RefSeq lists it as uncharacterized. The transcript has 3 exons. The record is from RefSeq and is a predicted model, not a curated record. Lineage: Eukaryota; Metazoa; Arthropoda; Thecostraca; Balanomorpha; Balanidae.
GAGAACCGCAGUGAGUUUCCUCAAGUGGGACACGCCCUUUCCUGUCAUCAACGUUGUUAUCUACAAUUCAGCGCAAAGCUCAUAAGCAAGCUUCUAGAUAAUUGUAGGUUUUGGCGGCUUCUAGAUAAUAAAUUUUUUCUGUUUAUUUUACAUUUAUUUGUAAAACAAUUCGAAAAAAGAUCGAGAAAAUGCUACAAGUUUUGUCAUCAAAGCGCAGGUUUUGGCCAAGUUUUGACUACGUGUAUUUACUGCCAAAUCCCUUCAAAGUAAAACAAAUUUACUUCUGGCAAUUCAGCGAGUAGUAAAGUAAUCUUGAAUUCAGCAGCAACGAAUAUCAGCCUCACAGCAGCAUAUUUCGGGGUGUUUCAAUUUCAGUGGCGGCGCCACGAAUUUUCGCCAGUGGGGGCAAGCUUGAGGUGACCAGACUGUUGUCUGAUACCUCGAUCUGCAAAAUCCAUGAGCACCUUUCUUGCCCCUAGAUUCUGCCAUUCAAAAUUAUUUUGGUUUCAGGUGUCAUGCAUACACUGUAAAAAAUGUUAGCACAGUUUGAGUUUUCUGACUCACUUUAACGAUGUGUUCAAACAACUAACUUGCUAAUGAAUCCGUAUUUAUCGAGUAAUUUAAACCUUAUUGCAAAGCAAAACACGGUUAGUCCAAAUCAGGAUGAACUAGCUCGGAAUCCCCGUGUACAAUGACACUGUUCGAGUAAUCGCCAUGUAUUCAUACCCGCAAUUGGCGGACACCAAGGCCCUAUAUACCAGGUAGGGUCGUCCGGCGAUUCUACCUGAUCGUGACGUCAGCUCGUGACGUCAUCUGGGGGCAAGUCUUGAAGUCCCGUUUAAGUCCUAUGCAAAUGGGCGAUUUUUGAAGCGCUGUAGAACAAACUCUGCUAAAGCUAGCACAAAGCUAAGUGCAUCAUCGGAAAGCCGAGACAUUUUUCUUCGAAUUAUCUAAGAAUCGUUUUUCACUAAACCCAUUAGUUUUUCCGAAAAUGCGUAAAAAAGCCCCCAUGCCUCGGCAGCCUCCCUUCCGCCGGCCGCCGCGCCGCCGCGGUAGUGUAGUGGUUAGGAUGCUUGCGCCGUAAUCCAAAGAUCGUGCGUUCGAAUCUAGGCGCGGGUCGUACUUAAAUAGAAAUUGCAAGCAAAAUAUGCGUUUUUUCUUGGUAAAUCACUUAUAUUACAGCUAACCGUUCAUAAAACUAUCGAUAACAAUUGACUGAAACCCAAUUUGUAGAAUACAUUAUAAUAAAACAAAUUCAAAUAUGGCGGCCGUUGCGCCAGGCUCCGCCCCCGACUCCGCCCCUUCGUGUGACGUCAUCUGUGCACCUGGACACACAGGGAGAUAGGGGACGACAUGGGCCUGGCGGACACUGUGUUCCGAAACACGAAUACGAUUUUGUGGAAGCAUUUUUGCGCACGGUUCUACCGUGUUGAAUGACACGUUGCCGUGUUUUACCCCUCUGCGUCGAGUUUAAAAACCCGAAUGGGAUUAUUUGGGCCGCGAUCUUGAGGGACAUUAACACCAAUUAACACUGUGGGUACUAUACUCGGUUCAGUUUCGCGCCAAAUGCAGCGCCGCGUGGGCCUCAGUCGCCAUCUUUGUGCGAUCCAGGGAGGUCGUGUCUGUGCUGCGUGUGACGUCUUGUUGAAUACGGCUCAAGAUGAGCCGAACAUAGGCGCGGGAGCCGGGGGGGCAGUGGGGGCAGCUUGCCCCCCCAACUCUAGGGCCGUGGGGGCGGUGCCCCCACAACUUUGAGACGAAAUACUGCACUUUUUUUGCAAGUGUUUUUCUUUUUUUGUUGAAAAAGCCAAGGGAUGAAAAAUAAGUGGCCGAAAACCGGUGAGAAAACUAGAUUUGGGGGUACCCUAGGUUCAUCUCCAUUAUGGUGUGCCCCCCAGUCUGAAAGUAGUUCCCGCGCCUAUGGAGCCGAAUGAAGGUGAAUCUCCAAGUCCCACAGUCAGAGCUCAAGACCGUGAGGCAGGACUUCAUUCCUUGAUGAAUGCGGCUCAACUGCUAACAGGAUAAGAAGACACGAACCAGAAGUUGGACGCUUUUUAGAAUUUCCUCUCGUACCGCUAUAGUGUCAUGGGUGGAGGGGAGCGAGGCUGCCAUCUCCGAAGACAACACGCCUCUGAGUGUGCGCCUCCUAGUUUGUGCGGCAAUGUUCCCCGUGUUCAAUGAGAAAAUUCAAUGCCCCAGCGGUCAGAACUCCCAGCUAGUAUUGACGCAAUAGCUCUCCCAAAUGUCGACCGGAAAGUCGUUAAAAAAAUCGUUGCGACGAUCGGCUCGACAAGCUGAAGACCGCGCCAGUGAAUGCAUGUGAAACGGCACCUCUACUCUCCCAUCGCCAGGCCCAAAGACGUGUUGUUCAUAGGUGUCUUUCACAAUACUAGUGUUGCUGAUCGCGGAGGACCACUGUCCACUGCUCGUCCGCCGUG